CCCAAGCCCGAAUGAAAAAGGUGGAGGGUUGCUUAAGGCCAUAAAAAGCCUGUGUUGAAAACAUGUUAGUACUCAUAAGCAUGAUCCUAACUGUUUCAUGGUAAGACUAGUCCGUCACAAUAAAUUGAUGCAACAUAUAUUGACCUCUCCAGUUAUUAUGAGAAAUAGAGUUUUCUGUUCCUAAUUCUAACAUUUAAAGUGCCCAUUAGUUCUUUAAAUCAAGGUCUGUAAUACCGAAUGAUACUGCUCGUACCGGGCGGUACAUACCGGUCCGUCAAUAGACCAGUACACGGACCGCCCGCUACCGAGCGGUACCAUCAAUUAAGGCAUUAUCGUUAUCGAUUGAGGUGUUAUUAUCGACGGUGAUCGAGGGAGAAGAAAGAAGAGGGAGAAGACGAAGAAAGAAAUAGGAAAAAAAGGUAGAACCUGGAUGUCACCUCUCUCCUCCUCGUCUGUCGACGACUUCUCAUCUGUUCACGGGAGAAGAGGCAUCGGCUUGUGGGGCGGAGAGAAGCGAAGAUUUUUUUUUUCUUCUCUUCUUGGGCAAUGUCGCCUCGGGCAUCAUCGCAAUAUUUUUAUUUUUUAGAUGUAAUUUUUUUUUUUAUCUGCGACGUCGCCCCGCAUAGAGGUAAACUGUGCGGUUUACCUAUAUAUAUAUAUAUAUAUAUAUACACAGCGGUAUACCAAAAUAUACCACUCAGUAUAUAGUAUCAUACCGUAUCGAAUAAGUCUUGAAAUUUUGGUAUGGUACAAAAUUUCAAUCCUUGAUUGAAGUGACUUCUUUUAUGGACUAACAUUCAAAUAUCGGGACUGUGUAACUUAUAUAUCAUGAACUAGCAUUGUCCAUAAUGUAAGUUACUCAUCUAAGAAACCAACAAGUAUGCUUUCUGUGGAUGAUAAUUGUUAGGACGGGAAACCACAGCAUGUGGAUAAGGUUCUUAAUGGUAAAAUUUUAUAGGUUGGAUCAAGGUAUGCAAUACCGUACCGUAUUAAUAUUUCGAGGUUGGCUCGGUAUGGUACAGUAUCGUAUACCGAGCGGUACGCUAGGGUGUACCAAGUGGUACACCUAAUUUAGGUGUAAGACCCUCCGAAAAUACCUAAAAAUAAAAAAAAUGUUAGGAUAGGAUUUUUAAGUUAGAAAUAAAUAUAGUAAUAGCAUAAGUUUAGUAAAAUCAAUGUAAAUUAGGUAAGAAUAGUAUCACAUAUUUUUUUCAGGCUUUGAAGAAUAUCUUAUGUAAGGUUCGUAUUCCAGUUCAGUACGGAUUAUCCUUAUGUAAACAUACCUCUUGAUUAGAAAGUUCUUCCUCUUAAUCUUCCUAAAUUAGCCUCGAUUCAAUUCAUUAAUCGUUGUUUUGUAGAGUUUAGGAGAGCACAAAUGUGAGAAAAAAAGAGUUUGAGAUAGUUUAAGAGAGUAUGAGAAUGUAAUGGAGUGAAAUAAAGGAGAAGAAGGGUUUAAAUACCAUAAGAAAUGGUUCCAACGGUCAAUUUGACUAUUGGAGCACUGUAUCACUAUUACCGAGCGGUUUUAAAUAUUUCUUCCUCUUACUGUAGCAUUGUAGCACUUUAGCAUGUUCUGUCUGGUAGCGGGCGGUUCGCGUACCGGUAUGUUGUCGGAUCGGUACAUAUCGCCCGGGUACCGUACCGGGUGGUACCAUUCUAAAUUGGUUGGAUCAAGAUUGACAAUCCUUGGAACAUGAUGAGAUAAACUACUCCACUCUAUUUGACUUUGUGAACUAAAACUUGAUGGUUAAUUUUUUUUUAACUUUUUAUUGGCAGCUGCAAUGACAUAUAUGAAUCUCCAAUUGAAUUGUGAGAGACACGAUGGCUAUGCAGGUCCAUUUCUCAAAGGAUUUGGACUGCCAUUUACAAGGACAAGUCUCCACAUUGUUAGUUACAGAUGUUCUUCUGUUUCUUCUUUGCAUUUUGUUCUGUAAUAUUUUGUGUCAAACAUUGAAAUAAUUAUAGAUGAUGUGUUCCAUAUUACUUAAUAGAAAUUCUUUUGCUUUUUGGCUUUCCACGUGUUCCAAAGUGUUCUUUCUUAGUUUAUAGGAUUCCACAAUAAGUUUAUGAAGAAACUAAUGUUAAUUAAAUUAUUUUUUUCAUGCAUAUUAUGUGAAUGGAUAUGGUUUCUUAUCAAAUCAAUUUACAAUAUGAUUUGACAAUUUUGUACUUGAAUAGUUGGGUCUGUCUUCAAUAUUUGAUGAAAUUGUUAAAACUGAAGUAACCAGGCACAUGCAACCUACUGAUUCCUUGAGCUUGUUUGGGGAAGAAUUCAAAUGAACUGAAGAUUAUUGGGAUGCUUCUUAUUUGAAUGUCUUGGAUAUAUCUGCAGCGGAAGAAGGCAGUCCUCAUGUCUUAUUUGGAUGUGCUUCACAAGUAUAUUCUAAAUGAUCACCUACCCUAUAAUGUUUUUUAAACUAAUUAUCCUGUUUUUUUCCUAUUGGAAUAACUUUUAGCCACCAGGAGUCUGCUUCUGUAACUAAAUUGUCGAGUGUUUACAUUCUUUUAUAAUGAAUAGAUAGCCUCUCCUGUUCUGCAAAUUGGCUAACAGUAAUUCAAAUUUUUCGUCCCUAUUACCACUUAUACAAGCACUGCUUCCAGGUGAAAGGUCUCUGUUUUAAGUUAAAACUUUUAACACCUUUUACUAGUUUAUAUAUUAAUUAAUUUGGAUGGAUUCUGAUUUCCUUUCAUUUGAUGACACCUCUUUCUCCAAUUAGCCUCCUAAAUCAAGUUGAUGAUUACUGCAAAGGUUUCAUCUUUUCCCAUAAUAAGUCUACAUAUUAAGUCAACAACUUGUAUUUUUGUAACUGCAUCGACCCUUUUUCAGGUUGAUCUUGCAAUUGAACUUCCGGAGGACCUCUUGGUGUUAUUCAAGUAAUUCCAUCAUUCUCCUUUGGUUUACUAUUAUGACUGCAUCGACUCUUGGUGUUUCAUCUUUAUUACUGUUAUGAAGGCUUAAUUCUUUAUUAUAAUGAAUGCUCCUUUGGUUGGUUGGUUGGUUAUGAAGUCAUGGAUACAAGUGCAAGAUAUUGAUAUGAUGGAUAUGGGCAUGUAUCAAUGUAUAAUGUUUACUAUUUAAUGUGACAAAAUUUGGUAUUUAUUUAAUGUUAGAAUAGGUAGAUAUAAAUCAUGAUUCAUCGUAAUUAACCUAUUCAUCAUGAAAAUAUAUAAAUAAUGUUUGGUGAAUUAUCUAACAUAAGCAAUUAAAACUAUCUAUGUUUGAUGAGUACUUGAUCAUUUCUUGGUGCAGAUCUGACUUUUUUUGUGGUCAAUACAUUGUGAUUUAUUGUGGAUGAUCAAAUUAUCAAUCAUUAAUUUUCUCGUGAAAUAAUCUUCUCAUUUUGAGAAAAAUGUUAUUUAAUUUGAACAUCAUAGCCCUAGCAUAACAAAGACUAUGAAGUUCAGAGGCAAUUUGUUCUGCUGUGGUAUAAUAUUUGAUGAUGAUGUUCAGAUGGCAAUUAGUUUCACCAUUUGAUGAUGUAUGAUAAUAUUUCAAGUUUGCCAGCAGUGGUUGAUGAUUGUCGAACUAUGUCAUGCUGGUAUAAUACUAGCAUGGUGUUUGGUUAUAUACCAAGGAUGUCCCUGAACACACAAUCAAGCACAAGGCUUGUUCCAGCCAUAUGUUUAAACCGUGUUGAUCAGCAUGUAUUGUACUGACAUGACCAUCCUGAUGAACUAAAAAAACACUUUCUAUGACCUAUCAUAGAUGUUAUUUUGUGAUCCAUCUAUUACCUUAUUGUGAAGAUUCCAACAAUAUCAGUCAUUUGUACACUUGAAUAAAACCUUGAUCUCUUGAAUUUGAUCAUGAUCAUGAUAGCAGUUAUUGUGAAACUGAAAAUUUUGUCUGUUGGAUUGUAGUUUUCCUUUUUUUCUAGAGUGCCAAUAAAGAACCUACUGUUUGAGUGUCCUGAUGAUACAACUAUGACACAGCCUUGUACAGAGUUCUUUGGAGUGUUGUGCUCAACUCUUAUGGGACUUUUAUGGACCAAUAUAACUACUGUUGUGGCUUGGAAAGCUAUAUAUUUCUUAAUGGGUAGCAGAUUAUUUUUUACAUGUUUCUUAGAUACCAAUAUACACUUAAAAUAUACACUUCAAAUCCUGUGAAUGCAAGUCCUUUAGUUCUAGUUACUGUCAUUUAGUACUUUUUAGUUCAUGAACCCUGUAUGUGACAUCCAUCUUUCAUCUGUGUGUGCUCAAGAAAUUAUGAAUUUCAUCAUAAUGCUCCAGUUAUUAUCCAAUUUCACUAACAGUUAUGUCCAGGAUACAUCUUGACUCUAUGAUUUCGCAGAGCUGAUUUUAUCAAGAUUACAAAAUAGGAUAAUAAGUUGUAUCACAUAUUAUAAUUUAUAGACUGGCCAAGGACCUUGCAUUUGAUUAGGUACUAAGAUCUUACUGAUACUUAUUGCAUUAUGAUCUUAAUUUUUUACUGAUUUCAUCAGGCUUCUUUUUGGAUAUGCACAAUUGGUCAAAAAAAAAUCAGUUGGGUCCUGAUGCAAUACCUUGUUUCUGUGGCAUGUAUCUAGAAACAUGUUUUAGUAUGAAAAUGUCUCUUUGUGAGUUCCACACAUUGCAGCUACCAACAUGUAUGUGACAGCUCUCUUGCACACUUUCACUAUGUUGUUUCUAAGACUAAUGAAGUUUUAGCUCCUGAUUGUUUUUAAGGUACAAUAAAACAUUUUCUUUAUGGAACCAUAUAUUCUAACUUCUAAGAACCUACAAUGGAAUAUUUUUAGUGUCACAUUUUCUGCAGGCACAUUUGACGAAAAGAGCAUUUCCUGUUAUUUACUUAUGGUGGAUCAUGUUUCUUAUGUAGGAUAAGAUUUUUUUCAUGCAGCUUUUAUGCAUGAAACAAUAAGGAUCCUACCUGUGAAUUUGGAAUUAGCUAUGGUUGGUUUAUUCAAAUCCUACAAGUCCUUUAGUUCUAGUCAUUAUCAUUUAGUACUUUUUAGUUCAUGAACCCUAUAUGUGACAUCCAUCUUUCAUCUGUGUGUGCUCAAGAAACUGUGAAUUUUGUCACAAUGCCCCAGUUAUUAUCCAAAUUUUAUCCACUUCCUCCUGAAUAAAAAUUCAAGAAAAGGAAAAAAAAUCUUGAUACACUUUCGUAUGACAGAUUAUGCACUUAUUUUCAUGCUUCAAGUUUGGUUGACUUUGUUCAUAAUGUCCCUACCAGGUGUUUUCAUAAUCUGCUAGCCAUGCUUAUGUUGCUUUGAAGCAAGGUAUACAAUUUGAAUGGUACCGCUCGGUACGGAUGGUACGUACCAGUCCGACAGGUUAUCGGUAUGCGGAUUGUCCGUUAUCGCCCGGCACAGCUCGUGUACUCCUUUUUGUUUUGGGGCCACAUAUGCCAUUUCCUUCAGAUCAAGAGUCUUUAGCUGUUUCUUCUGACUUUGUGAUAUGUUCUCAUGGGGCUUCUAGCACAUCCAGUAAUCCGGAUGAAGCAAAGAGAAAGAUUGAUGCAUCUAAAGCUGCCACAAGAAAAGAUGUACUCCAAGAUGCUAAUCUGUAGUUUGCUCCUAGAGAUCUGUCAAAAAUUGUUCUGACAAGUAUUUCCAAUUAUUUUACUGGGGACUGGAUCAGAUUGAAUUCCGAUUGUGGUGUUUCAGAGGUGAAUAAGAUAUCAAAUAACAACUUUUAGAAUAUUGGUUUCUUUGCUGAUUACUUGUAUUCACAAGCAGAUUAUCUACAACUUGUAAACUAUCAAGAUUCGGUAUAUAGGGCUUCUCAAUUUGAACGUUUGGCAGCUGAUUUGUGUUCCCAGCAUGACAUAACCCCAGAAAGCCAUGAAGCUGCAAUAGAAGCCAUACUCUUGGCUGCAGAAUGUUAUGUCAACUCAUUCUUUAUAAUCGAUUUCAUAUGGAUGCAAUUCAGAGCUUAUGAAUCAAAUGAAAAUCAUUGGAUCCAAAUUCAAGAAUAAAAAUGGAUUAGUGGUGUUUUAUGAAGACCUUAAGAGAUGUAAUGUCAAUCUGGAGACAAUAGCUUAUCUUGAAAGUAAAAGGGAUAUAACUGUUCUACAAAUUCUGCUUCCGCUAAACUGGACCUCGAAUCUGAGAGAAUUUUGGCUCUUGGGAAACCUUGUACAUAUUAUUUUGAAGGUAAUCAGCAGGCUUUGGAAAUAUCACAAGUCGACAUUGAAUCAGCUGAUGUGGCAAUAUUGAUUAGGCAGAAUCAACCAUUGCUUUGUCACUUUGUAAUCCUCCUACAGAGUCUCCCCUCUUUCUACUGCAUUCUGCAACUGAGUUAUCCUAUUCUGUAGAGGAUGUUAAUAACGUUAUAUUGCAGUCAGCUGCAAAUCUUAGUGGACAAAUUACAACUUUGUACACCCAACUGAAAGCAAGCAACAUACAGCUUGAAAUGGAAAAGUUACAUGGGCUGCAAAGGUGCUGGGCACUUCUUGAAAGAUUAAUAAUAACAUCUUCUGGAAAUGAUGAACGGACAUAUCCCAUUGGCAUCAAAAGUGCUGGUUUCAUCUACAGAACUUUAUUCCACAUUUAUCGUGGAUGCAGAAAAUAUCCAGAUUUUCAAGUUGCAUAUGUCCAUUUUCUAGAUUUUUAGGAUGGAUGUCAGUAUCUUGAAAUGCAAAGCAAUACUUGAAGGGACACAUGUUUAUUACCUCUGAUCUUUCACAAAUUUUAUCAUUUUUUUAUCAAAUUUUGCGGAUGAGUUAGCACUUACCGAUAAUUUAGUAAAAGAAUUUUUAAUCUGCA
Molecule: long non-coding RNA, 6704 nt
Organism: Musa acuminata AAA Group (dessert banana)
Lineage: Eukaryota; Viridiplantae; Streptophyta; Magnoliopsida; Zingiberales; Musaceae
Exons: 2
Source: RefSeq, a predicted model, not a curated record